RNAcentral lists this ribosomal RNA (447 nucleotides) under uncultured bacterium. RNAcentral describes it as "bacterial SSU rRNA". It matches the Rfam family "Bacterial small subunit ribosomal RNA", at positions 355 to 825 of the family's 1533-position model. The record is from RNAcentral.
UCGGGAAUUUUGGGCAAUGGGCGAAAGCCUGACCCAGCAACGCCGCGUGAAGGAUGAAGUAUUUCGGUAUGUAAACUUCGUAAGAAUAGGAAGAAUAAAUGACGGUACUAUUUGUAAGGUCCGGCUAACUACGUGCCAGCAGCCGCGGUAAUACGUAGGGACCAAGCGUUGUUCGGAUUUACUGGGCGUAAAGGGCGCGUAGGCGGCAAUUCAAGUCAUCUGUGAAAUCUCCGGGCUUAACUCGGAACGGUCAGAUGAUACUGCUUUGCUAGAGUGCAGAAGGGGCAAUCGGAAUUCUUGGUGUAGCGGUGAAAUGCGUAGAUAUCAAGAGGAACACCUGAGGUGAAGACGGGUUGCUGGGCUGACACUGACGCUGAGGCGCGAAAGCCAGGGGAGCAAACGGGAUUAGAUACCCACGUAGUCCCUGAGCGGGCUGGCAAGGCGCAU